GGGGUUGUGGCUCAGCGGUAGAGCGCUUGCCUGGUAUGUGUGAGGCCCUGUGUUCGAAUCUCAGCACCA
This 69-nucleotide transfer RNA is filed under the name Marmota marmota marmota (Alpine marmot). It matches the Rfam family "tRNA". Rfam says of the family: Transfer RNA (tRNA) molecules are approximately 80 nucleotides in length. Their secondary structure includes four short double-helical elements and three loops (D, anti-codon, and T loops). RNAcentral also lists the same sequence under 3 other names. The record is from Rfam by way of RNAcentral. Lineage: Eukaryota; Metazoa; Chordata; Mammalia; Rodentia; Sciuridae.